AUAGCUGGCAGACCACGUGAGCUCAUGCUUGUAAAAUACUUCAUGUGGGGGCUGGCAGUCCUUCGUGUUACGUUCCAUUGUAAAUAUUCAUGUUUCAUAAGCCCUCUGUUAGACUCAGACUUGUAAAAAUAUUGACACGUAUGUUUCCUCCCCUUGAACACAAUACACUAUUGUGCAUAUGCUCUGUACCUUCACAGCAAAGCCUGGAAAUCAAAGAGGGGUGGGGCCCAGAUGCAUCCUCAUCACUGAUGUCACGUUGCUCCUGACUCCCGUUGCCCUGGGCCCCGGUGGGCACGUCCUCGGCUGGGGCAAAAGCCAUCCCUGUGCCUCCGAAGCCCGCCUGCGUGAGCGUCUGUGUCCCUCCACGGGGCCUCUCCAAGGUGACAUGGUCAGACCCCCACCCUCUUGAUCCUUUCACUUCCCUUAGGGCCCCAGUGACAUCUACGUGUGCGUCCCCGGAAACACUAGGGGCUGUUUGCUGGGAAUCCCUAACCGAGGUGGUGAAGCUCGGGGAACAGAGCAGACCGUACCCUGCUCUAACAGAGCCUGGAUUCCAGCGAUCACGGCACAAGCAACCCCCGGGAAAGGUCAUGAGCACACACAGCGUCUGCAGGCCCGGAGGAGAGUCUCACCAGGACCCUCAUCUGGGGCUCCAGCCUCGGAACUGUGGGAAAUGAAUGCCUAUUGUCUGAGCCCCUGUUGGCGGGUUUGGUCAUGGCUGCCGGAGCCGACCAGCCACUUGCUGAAAACGAGAAGUAAAAGCAAAGGGUCUGAAUGCUCUCGACUCAGGCACUGCAUUCAGAGAGGGUCCUUCAGACCCUCACCCGGAGCCUGCGCCCUCCUUUUCUGCACACGGUGGAGACAUCCGCGCUCAUCUGGUUUCCCGACUCUCAACAAAGACGACACAAUGAUCCCAAAGAGGAGCAAAGCUCUUCGAAGCAGUAACAUUUGCAGGCUGCUUCUGUGAUUGAUACUUAUCAUAAAAAAAGAGUGCGGAGAAGCUGAACACAGCAAAUACAAGGACCCAAGUGCCCUCGGAUGCAGGAUAGUUCAGGGAUGGAGCAAACGACCUCACGCAUUGCUAUGUGCGUCACAUCACAUGGACAGUAUGGUGUCCAAACUUAAGACUGAAGCCAGCAUACUCCGUACAGGGAAUUAGAAAGGCAUCGGAAAGAAGUCUGCCCACAGGUUGAAGGUGUUUGCACUCACUGGGCUCCUACGAUCGUCUGCUCUGACCACUUCAUUUUAUGGAAAGGCCGGGCUCAGCGAGGCCCAGCCACUCACCAUUUGUCACCAGAGACACACCCAGUACUUUCCAGCUCAGUCACUUCCCUGUAGGAGGAGGGGACUCGGAGCACUUGGAAUAUCAGGCGGAAGGGAUAGAGGACUGAGUGGCUUCCCUGGGGCGAUGCCAGGGGGGCACCUUUCAGUUGUCGGGUGGUACUGGGGCAGAAGCCAAGUCUAGACUGUUCUAACAGCAGUGAUUGAAACCCGUUGCAGCGGGGGUGGGGAGCACAUACCACCGUGUGAAAUGGAAACCCCCUUCUGUCUAAAAGAGAAAAUCCAUUUAUAGCUCCUUUCUGACCGGAUUAUGAUAUCACUGCCAACAGAUCUGAGAAAAGUCUUUCCUCUUCCAAAUUCUACAGCACUCUGCUUUUUCCUAACAUCAGAAAUUCCUUGAUUCCACUUCAAAGCACCUAUGGAUGCCAAUUCUCCUUAGCGCUGAGCCUCUGCGCAGAUUUAUGUGACUUGUCUUUGCAGCCCUGUGUCAUUUCUUCCACACAGCCUCUGUGUCUGCUCCCCAGGGGGUGCCGUGUCUGUGCAGAGGCCACAGAAAAGUGCAAGGGGCCCAUGGAGCCUGGGUGCCCCCCGCAGACUGGGCAGGGACCGGGGGCCGCAGGCAGGGACAGAGGGAGGUGAGGGGGAGCGAUGGCCUCGCUGCCCUGCUCAGGUUCAAUGCUGGGGCUCUAACUGGGUGUGUGUUCCUUCUGAACCCAGCUCAGCUUCCAGGACUGGAGAGGAUGAAGGAAGUGAAGGUCUGUUCUCUUCUGAGAAACUGCUGUCUUUACUGACAAGAGGGAAGGGUCACUGUGGGCCAACAGGGUCUUUGUCCUGCAUAACACUGAGCUGGGGGUGCUGGCAGGAGCACACAGUAGGCCUGCAAUUGCCCCUUUAACAUCCAAAGUGGGUGAAGCCCACUCACUGUUGACUUCAAAAUGAUUGAUAACCUCAUGUGCUUGCAUACAGCUUCCUAGGGCUUUUUUGUGUGCAUGAGGUUGGUUGUCUUGGGUGGUGACAAAGUUCAACUAAGCUUCUGUCAGGUUCCUAAACCUUCUGGGACCAUCUGUGCCCUUCUAGUAAAUCCAGUUUUAGCAAGAACCCUGCUAAGUCAGUGUCACCAGAACCCCCACUCUUCAAAUCUAGAUUAGGUCCUCAUUCCCCACCACCCCCCAAGUGAUGUCUGAUCUCCCCAACUUGCCUUCAGCAAGAAUCCUGUUAUGUCGCUUUAGCCGGAAUGAGUAAUUUUCCAUCCAUGGACCCUGCCCUGCUCCUUGGCUAUAAAUUCCCACUCGCCCUUGCUGUAUUUGGAGUUGAGCCCAGCUCUGUCCUGAGGUCUCUUUUCCGCAGUUGCAAUAGUCCUGAAUAAAAUGUGUUUGUACCGCUCUAACUACUCUCCAGUGCUGGGUUUUCUUUGACAGUAAUUAUAGCUACUCUGAGAGAAGCAUCAGAGCUUCUCAUCACAGACAUAGAUGCACGAGCUCCAAGACCACAAAGCAAGGGCCUAGCAAUGGUCUGCACCCACACAGAGUCAGGGCUGGACCACAGCCAGCUGUCUUUCUGACUUGGC
Molecule: long non-coding RNA, 2848 nt
Organism: Mirounga angustirostris (Northern elephant seal)
Lineage: Eukaryota; Metazoa; Chordata; Mammalia; Carnivora; Phocidae
Exons: 3
Source: RefSeq, a predicted model, not a curated record